GAUGGACGCUAGCGGCAGGCUUAAUACAUGCAAGUCGAGGGACAGCACAGGUAGCAAUACUGGGUGGUAACCGGCAAACGGGUGCGGAACACGUACACAACCUUCCUUUAAGUGGGGGAUAGCCCAGAGAAAUUUGGAUUAAUACCCCGUAAUAUAGUUGAAUGGCAUCAUUUGAUUAUUAUAGCUACGGCGCUUAAUGAUGGGUGUGCGGCUGAUUAGAUAGUUGGCGGGGUAACGGCCCAACAAGUCUACGAUCAGUAGCUGAUUUGAGAGCAUGAUCGGCCACAGGGGACCUGAGAGAGGGGCCGGACUCCUACGGGAGGCAGCAGUAAGGAAUAUUGGUCAAUGGACGAAAGUCUGAACCAGCCAUGCCGCGUGAAGGAUUAAGGUCCUCUGGAUUGUAAACUUCUUUUAUUUGGGACGAAAAAGGGCCUUUCUAGGUCAACUGACGGUACCAGAUGAAUAAGCACCGGCUAACUCCGUGCCAGCAGCCGCCGUAA
RNAcentral lists this ribosomal RNA (500 nucleotides) under uncultured bacterium. Its description in RNAcentral is "partial 16S ribosomal RNA". It matches the Rfam family "Bacterial small subunit ribosomal RNA", at positions 28 to 523 of the family's 1533-position model. The record is from RNAcentral.